RNAcentral lists this ribosomal RNA (253 nucleotides) under uncultured bacterium. RNAcentral describes it as "partial 16S ribosomal RNA". It matches the Rfam family "Bacterial small subunit ribosomal RNA", at positions 524 to 776 of the family's 1533-position model. The record is from RNAcentral.
UACAGAGGUCCCAAGCGUUGUUCGGAUUCACUGGGCGUAAAGGGUGCGUAGGUGGUGGGGUAAGUCUGAUGUGAAAUCUUCGAGCUUAACUCGGAAAUGGCAUUGGAUACUACUCUGCUAGAGGUUUGGAGGGGGGACUGGAAUUCUCGGUGUAGCAGUGAAAUGCGUAGAUAUCGAGAGGAACACCAGUGGCGAAGGCGAGUCCCUGGACAACACCUGACACUGAGGCACGAAAGCGUGGGGAUCAAACAGG